RNAcentral lists this transfer RNA (68 nucleotides) under Xyleus modestus. RNAcentral describes it as "tRNA-Tyr". It matches the Rfam family "tRNA". Rfam says of the family: Transfer RNA (tRNA) molecules are approximately 80 nucleotides in length. Their secondary structure includes four short double-helical elements and three loops (D, anti-codon, and T loops). The record is from RNAcentral. Lineage: Eukaryota; Metazoa; Arthropoda; Insecta; Orthoptera; Romaleidae.
GGUAAAGUGGCUGAAAUUUUUAGGUGAUAGACUGUAAAUUUAUUUAUGAGAUAUAUUCUCCUUUACCA